UUAAAGCUAACACAUAUUCGUUAUUUGCUUUAGCUUAAUCCUAAGUGCAAAAGUUGUCAAAAUGCAAGUACUUUUAAGAGCUGUGCCCGGCUAUUGUCCAGGCAGACAAUUCUCGACGGUGGAUCGCGACAGGGCGCGUCAGCUUAUAAAGCAGCUAACCCGGGAGGCCGGAGAGCUGAUGAUGAAGGGGCAGGAGCAGAAGCCGGAGUUCAUAAUAAAGGCACAUCAGCGCGAUCUGGUGACACAGACGGACAAGGCUGUGGAGCGCCUGCUGGUCGGUGGUAUACGGAAACAGUUUCCAGAUCACGAGAUCAUUGCCGAGGAAGGCACUGAAGGCACCGCCAAGAACUGGGUCGUGAGCGAUGCGCCCACUUGGAUCAUAGAUCCCGUUGACGGGACAAUGAACUUUGUGCACGGGUUCCCACACUUCUGCACAUCGAUUGCCCUGUACGUGGAGCGGAGGGCCGUGCUCGGCUGGAUUGACAAUCCCAUGCUGAGGCACACAUAUGUCGCGCAGCAAGGAUCGGGAUUCUACUUCAAUGGAAACCCGAUGCGGGUCAGCGGACAGCGGGAUCUCAAGCAGUCGCUGGUCUGUCUCGACUGGACCGUGGCUCUGGGCGAAGAUGGCCAGGAUUCGGCCUCGCCCAAUAUAUUCAAGCUGCUGCCCAUGGUGCAUGGCGUACGCGCCCUCGGCUCAACGGCGCUCAAUCUGGCGCAGGUGGCUAUUGGUGCCUGCGAUGCCUACUUGCAGUUCGGUUCACACGUUUGGGAUUGGGCUGCAGGCGUGCUGAUGGUAGAGGAGGCGGGUGGUGUGGUCAUCGAUCCGUGCGGCGGCCCCUUUGAUAUAUAUUCGCGUCGCAUGCUGGCAACGGCAACGGCCGAGCUGGCCGAGCAAAUGGUGCCCCUGGUGCAGCAGCUGUUCCCCCAGCCACGUGACGACGAGCCAACAAAUCCAGGGAAACAAUCGAAGCCUUAAGCAUGCCUUGACUACGAUCAGCCAAUGCUAUGCCGUGUAUGGAGAAAUAAAUCAUUUUAAAUUUUCAAGUGAUUCAAGAUAGCCAAAUGCAAAGCAUAAUUAGGGGUUUCUUGACAAGCAGCCGUCGCCAGUGCCAGGCUCCGCCUGCAACGGCGACUGGCUCAUCUGUCCAGGCAGUGUCACAGGGACAAGAUGACAUAUGUCGUCAUGGCAUGGACAAAUGCCUCGAGCUGGCCUGUAAAGGCGUGCGACAGCAGAUGCAUGCCUUCCAGGCGAGGCACAGCCCCAAGAUGGCGGCAAACAAAUGGGACACGCUGAUUGAGGAUGUGCUGGUGCGGGACACCGCGAUGCAUUCGCCAAAUGAAUUCAUAGCCGAGAACAAGGCUGAUGAGUCCAUCUGGCCUGUAAAUGACAUCGAUGGCUCUGUUAAACUUUUCUCCGGCUGUCCCAAUGCUGCCAGUUCGUGGAAGAUGGGCUCUGCAAUGCUGACUGUGCCGCAGGCGAGUGGCAUAGUCAUGGAUACCCCAGUGAAUCCUUUACAUUUCAUUAGCCUCUGGCUGCUCCCAUCAAAACAGCGGGAUGAUGAGCUUGAAGGUGUACAAACAAAUGAACCAGUUGACCAGGACUCUGCUGGGAACGACAAGCUGCCCAGCGAGAGAGCUGCAGAGCAGUCGAUUGUGGCAAUAGCCAAAGCGAAGGACACAGGGAAAUCUAAAAAAUCAUCAGGAAAGACUUGUCCACAACAGCCGCGAGUUCGUAAACAGAAAAGAAAACUUGCAAGGCGGCCAGCCAGAAAACCUUGUGGUACACCCAAUAAGCGGGACGACUCGAUACCCGGUGAUCCGUGCAUGCCCGGCUAUAGUUUGUA
RNAcentral lists this unclassified non-coding RNA (1844 nucleotides) under Drosophila virilis. RNAcentral's name for it is "GJ11434". The record is from RNAcentral. Lineage: Eukaryota; Metazoa; Arthropoda; Insecta; Diptera; Drosophilidae.